Molecule: ribosomal RNA, 416 nt
Filed under: bacterium CBS4-9
Lineage: Bacteria; Pseudomonadati; Pseudomonadota; Betaproteobacteria
Description: bacterial SSU rRNA
Rfam family: Bacterial small subunit ribosomal RNA
Source: RNAcentral
GGGUGCAAGCGUUAAUCGGAAUUACUGGGCGUAAAGCGUGCGCAGGCGGUUUUGUAAGUCUGAUGUGAAAUCCCCGGGCUCAACCUGGGAAUUGCAUUGGAGACUGCAAGGCUAGAAUCUGGCAGAGGGGGGUAGAAUUCCACGUGUAGCAGUGAAAUGCGUAGAUAUGUGGAGGAACACCGAUGGCGAAGGCAGCCCCCUGGGUCAAGAUUGACGCUCAUGCACGAAAGCGUGGGGAGCAAACAGGAUUAGAUACCCUGGUAGUCCACGCCCUAAACGAUGUCUACUAGUUGUCGGGUCUUAAUUGACUUGGUAACGCAGCUAACGCGUGAAGUAGACCGCCUGGGGAGUACGGUCGCAAGAUUAAAACUCAAAGGAAUUGACGGGGACCCGCACAAGCGGUGGAUGAUGUGGAU